Molecule: unclassified non-coding RNA, 206 nt
Filed under: Glomus sp.
Lineage: Eukaryota; Fungi; Glomeromycota; Glomeromycetes; Glomerales; Glomeraceae
Description: partial contains 5.8S ribosomal RNA and internal transcribed spacer 2
Rfam family: 5.8S ribosomal RNA (bases 1-72)
Source: RNAcentral
GUGAAUCAUCGAAUUUUUGAACGCAAAUUGCACUCUCCGGUUUUCCGGGAAAGUAUGCCUGUUUGAGGGUCUGUUUAAAAAAUAAUCGAGGCUGCUGCUGUGGUGGCUCUUCGGAAUUGGGUCAUCUUUCACCUUUCGGUUGUAAGCGACCUAAAAUUUUUUUUACGAUUUCAACGAACUUUUUUAAGAAUUUCUGGAACUUUAUG